GGGACAACCUCCGUGAUCUUUUCUGUUUCUGUUAACAAGGAAAGCGCAGUGGGAGCUGAAUCAGAAAUGUGAGUGAUGUCCACUGCAAGCCUUUAAGAGUGUCAACUGUAUUUCCCACCUCUCUUGUUGGACACGACUGCACAAUCAGGAGGCCCAGAAGCUGAGCCAGGCACCGAAUUGUUAGAUCUGGAAAGAUUUCUCCACUGCCAGCUGCUUGGAGACUAAGUUCCAGGAGACUGAGUUUCCCCAUGAAUCAUUGCCUGAACCAAGGAACUUGUUUCUGAGCACAAAACCUCAGGAUAUUUUAAUGGGUAACUUAUUUAAUAAAUAUCCUUGAGACGUUAUUAUACUCCAGAAUGAACUUAAGUGGAAAAAAAGACCUCAUCUAAACUGAAGCCUACAGUCUCCAAAGUCUACAGCCAUCCAGAGCCGGAAUUACACAUUAAGAAAAUUAUCAGCCCUAAAAAAGCAAAUCCCUCUCAAUCCCCUAAAAAUCAGAUGUUUCCAGAACUGGGAUUUGGGAUGGAGGCCACCUCCCAUUGGAAGAUUUAGAACAAAAGGCAGGGAUAAGUUCACUAAAACAGAAAGUAGUAAUGCAAAAGUAAAAAAAAAAAAAAAAAAAAAAAAAAAAGAAAAUGUAUGUUAGAUAUAAGGGGAAGAAAAAGAUCACAAUUUCAGACAGGAAAGCAGUGAAUGAAGGACAGAAGGAAACCUCUGUGCUCGCAUAAUUAGAAAUUACUGAAGAUUUCUACAGUGAGGAACAACCCAGUACUAAUAAGGCAGGACUGUGUCAAAACCUUUAUCAUUUUGCAGGUGUUUCUCAACACCAGGCAGGACGAGGCACUGUGCAGACUAUUAGAGCUGAUCUAAUCAUAAUUGAUAUUCCACAAAAAAAAAAAAAAAAAAAUCGGUGUUGUUUUUUAUAGGUCAUAAGAAUUAAAUUUAAGCAGCAGGUACAAAAGCAAAGAGAAAUUGGUGAGGAAGGAUUAUUCCAACACUUGCUUGAAACAUUUAUGUAGUCAUCAGAGCCAGAAAACGCUCCGUUCUCAUGCUUUCCCUCCCAUACGUUAUCAGUUCAGUUGCUGUGAACAAAUUAAUAGUGAUGUACAGUGCCCUGCACUAUUAUCCACUGGAAAACAGAGCAGUCCAAAUUUGAAUAUUGUGAACUGAAGCACAUGAGAAGAAUAAUGCUUCGUUUCAUUGCCUACACAUUCUACUUUUGAUUCCCAAGAACGUCUAUGCAUCCUGCGGCAUCCUCGCUCGCUUUCUCUCACACACAUGCACACACACACUCAUACUUA
Dromaius novaehollandiae (emu) is the source of this 1301-nucleotide long non-coding RNA. RefSeq lists it as uncharacterized. NCBI's taxonomy places the organism in Eukaryota, Metazoa, Chordata, Aves, Casuariiformes, Dromaiidae. The record is from RefSeq and is a predicted model, not a curated record. The transcript has 3 exons.